Molecule: small nucleolar RNA, 106 nt
Filed under: Clunio marinus
Lineage: Eukaryota; Metazoa; Arthropoda; Insecta; Diptera; Chironomidae
Description: Small nucleolar RNA Me28S-Am2589
Rfam family: Small nucleolar RNA Me28S-Am2589
About the family: Me28S-Am2589 is a member of the C/D class of snoRNA which contain the C (UGAUGA) and D (CUGA) box motifs. This family directs 2'-O-methylation of 28S A-2589.
Source: Rfam by way of RNAcentral
UUUAAAGUGAUGAUAAACUUCUAUCAUUUCCUGAUUCAAUUUUGAUUCUAUUUUUGAAGAUAAAUUGAUUUUCAAGAUGACAACGAGGCAUUUGUCUGAUCAUGUU